CCUACGGGAGGCAGCAGUGGGGAAUCUUGCACAAUGGGCGAAAGCUUGAUGCAGCAACGCCGCGUGCGGGAAGAAGGCCCUAGGGUUGUAAACCGCUUUCAGCAGGGAAGAAGAUGACGGUACCUGUAGAAGAAGGUGCGGCCAACUACGUGCCAGCAGCCGCGGUAAU
RNAcentral lists this ribosomal RNA (169 nucleotides) under uncultured bacterium. RNAcentral describes it as "partial 16S ribosomal RNA". It matches the Rfam family "Bacterial small subunit ribosomal RNA", at positions 338 to 524 of the family's 1533-position model. The record is from RNAcentral.